CAUUAGGUAACUUAAAGCAAGUACUGGUCUCUUAAACCACUCUAUAGUAACUAGCGCCUACUCCUAAUG
Molecule: transfer RNA, 69 nt
Filed under: Cleroidea sp. 2 KM-2017
Lineage: Eukaryota; Metazoa; Arthropoda; Insecta; Coleoptera
Description: tRNA-Lys
Source: RNAcentral